Molecule: ribosomal RNA, 253 nt
Filed under: uncultured bacterium
Lineage: Bacteria
Description: partial 16S ribosomal RNA
Rfam family: Bacterial small subunit ribosomal RNA
Source: RNAcentral
UACGUAGGUGGCAAGCGUUGUCCGGAAUUAUUGGGCGUAAAGCGCGCGCAGGUGGUCCUUUAAGUCUGAUGUGAAAGCCCACGGCUCAACCGUGGAGGGUCAUUGGAAACUGGGGGACUUGAGUGCAGAAGAGGAUAGUGGAAUUCCAAGUGUAGCGGUGAAAUGCGUAGAGAUUUGGAGGAACACCAGUGGCGAAGGCGACUAUCUGGUCUGUAACUGACGCUGAGGAGCGAAAGCGUGGGGAGCGAACAGG